CCUACGGGUGGCAGCAGUGGGGAAUAUUGGACAAUGGGCGAAAGCCUGAUCCAGCCAUGCCGCGUGUGUGAAGAAGGCCUUCGGGUUGUAAAGCACUUUCAGUGGGGAAGAAAGCCUUGGGGCUAAUACCCUCGAGGAAGGACAUCACCCACAGAAGAAGCACCGGCUAACUCCGUGCCAGCAGCCGCGGUAAUACGGAGGGUGCGAGCGUUAAUCGGAAUUACUGGGCGUAAAGCGCGCGUAGGCGGUCUGAUAAGCCGGUUGUGAAAGCCCCGGGCUCAACCUGGGAACGGCAUCCGGAACUGUCAGGCUAGAGUGCAGGAGAGGAAGAUAGAAUUCCCGGUGUAGCGGUGAAAUGCGUAGAGAUCGGGAGGAAUACCAGUGGCGAAGGCGGCCUUCUGGACUGACACUGACGCUGAGGUGCGAAAGCGUGGGUAGCAAACAGGAUUAGAUACCCUGGUAGUC
Molecule: ribosomal RNA, 465 nt
Filed under: Vreelandella stevensii
Lineage: Bacteria; Pseudomonadati; Pseudomonadota; Gammaproteobacteria; Oceanospirillales; Halomonadaceae
Description: partial 16S ribosomal RNA
Rfam family: Bacterial small subunit ribosomal RNA
Source: RNAcentral